UGGUAGUAAUUUAAAGCUAUAAAAUUCAUAUGCAAGACAGACUCCAUUACAGAUUAAAAAGAUAUAACCAGAAUCAGAAUGCUACUUACAAAACUAUUUUAAUACAGCAACUAAUACAGUUAUCAAAUCAUUCAUUAGAGAAUAUAUUGUUAUACGAAAAGAAAUGCUGCCUUUUUAUUACUUCAGUGCAGCAAAUAAGAAGGCAACAUCAAGAAAAGUGCACAGCAGAAAAGAAUUGUUCAGUUUUCUGAAAAAGUUGAAUUUAUCUUCAGACAUCAGGCUUUUGUCAGGAAAUAUAUUGGGUUAGGAUUGCUUCUAUUCUCUCCCAGAUCAGUCUCUUCUUGCAUUAGUUCUCAGUAAGGUGCUCACUCUGACAUGUAGGAACGAUACAUCAGGGCCACAAUAAUUGCUGCUAUUGCCGGGAUCACCCAGUUGGACCAUGAACUGGAAUUAGACUGCACAGUGGUAAUAAGAGUUUCUGCUGGUUUCUGAAGCUUCGGUCUAUCAUCCGGGUGAAGCUCCCCAAUAAUAAAUGUUUCCGACAGCGCCCUUGCAUCUGUAGAGUGGCCAACAUCUUCAAAGUUCUCAGUAGCAUCUCCCCCAGCUUGCUCCCUAAGGACUUCUUCUCCACCAGGGUGCUCAUCCAGGAACUUGGUGAUGUCGUAGAUACGGUGGUGCACGAUGAUCCAGGUGCUCUGGCUGUUGUUAUGCUUCUGCACCUCCUCCAGCCGAUAGUAGCGGCCCCGCCACGCCUCACCGCCGGCUUCACUGGAGCCCACCAUAUCCUCGCUUGACAGACAGCCCACCGCCGCCGCGACUCACCACAACCCCCCUCUCACGCGCGGACGCCAAAUACAGCCCAGCCAACAGCCUAUCACCGCCCGCCCUACCUCCACUUCCUGCUCUCUCAUAGGCGGAGUGGUAUGUCUUUCAAAGAAGUCAUCACGCUACCGGCCGCGGAUUGGCGAGCCACACGUAAAGGGCGGGGCUAACGAUGUGGCCACAGGGGUGGGGUGUGCGCUCCCAGUCCCCUCCUCCCCGGGCGCGAUCGGCGCUCUCCGCAUGACCCGGUCACGUGCUCCGCCUCGCCUCAGUCAGCCAAAGGCGCGCGAGCUCUACUCCGCUAUCUUCCCCUCAGGCCGCGCUCCGCUGUGGCUCCUCGGGCGGGAGACGGUGUUGGCGCCACGAUGUGGCCGUGAGGGGGAGCGCCUCAGGGGACCGCCCCGCCCUCCUGCCGCAGGUGUGCGCUCACUUCAGCGCCCUCCCGCUGGUCUGAGGGGGCCAGGAGGGGUUCCCUCGCCUUCUCUCGGCGGCGAUCUUCCAAGCACAGUUGCCCUGUUUUCCUUUAGUUUUAUUUGAGGUAAAACCCAGCUUCAGAGCAGCUCUCUGUGCUCUGAGGAAAGCCAGCUACCUCAGGUCGCAGCGUCCUGAUUGACUCCUUCAGUGGGAUUUUAGGUUGUCUUUUUCUGUUGUUUGGUUGCUCGUUUUUUGGGAGGAGGAGGAGGGAUUGCUUAUUUGUUUCCAACGUAACUUAAGUAACAUAAAGCUUACAGAGAGUGAUUCAGGUGCUACCCCCAGUUUAUGACAGCAAACCCAAUGGCAAGAGUCCCUGUGGUCCCUCACAGCUUUGUGUAGCUUUCAGUGUAAAUGAGGAGGUUCCCCAUGCCAUUGCCCAGGCUGGUAUGAAAAUAAUAAAUACUGCUUACCAAUUCUGUGAUUUCUCCGCCUGCUCUGAAUGAAGAUCAGUGACAGCCAUUCUCUGACUGAAAGUCACCUUAGCAUGAGCUGUGUUGGUUUAAAGAUGGUGUGUUAUGAUCACUGCAUUUACGGGUGUAAUUCUUC
RNAcentral lists this long non-coding RNA (1842 nucleotides) under Gallus gallus (chicken). Lineage: Eukaryota; Metazoa; Chordata; Aves; Galliformes; Phasianidae. The record is from RNAcentral.